CCUUGCCAGCCCGCUCAGAAACUCAAAUGAAUUGACGGGGGCCCGCACAAGCGGUGGAGCAUGUGGUUUAAUUCGAUGAUACGCGAGGAACCUUACCUGGGCUCAAAUGUAUGUUGACGUAUUCUGAAAGGGAUACUUCUUCGGACAAUAUACAAGGUGCUGCAUGGUUGUCGUCAGCUCGUGCCGUGAGGUGUCGGGUUAAGUCCCAUAACGAGCGCAACCCCUAUCAUUAGUUGCCAUCAGGUCAAGCUGGGGACUCUAAUGAAACUGCCUACGCAAGUAGUGAGGAAGGUGGGGAUGACGUCAAAUCAGCACGGCCCUUACGUCCAGGGCUACACACGUGCUACAAUGGUCGGUACAAAGGGUUGCCAAGCCGCGAGGUGGAGCUAAUCCCAUAAAACCGAUCGUAGUCCGGAUCGCAGUCUGCAACUCGACUGCGUGAAGUCGGAAUCGCUAGUAAUCGUGAAUCAGAAUGUCACGGUGAAUACGUUCCCGGGCCUU
RNAcentral lists this ribosomal RNA (501 nucleotides) under uncultured Sphingobacteriales bacterium. RNAcentral's name for it is "bacterial SSU rRNA". It matches the Rfam family "Bacterial small subunit ribosomal RNA", at positions 903 to 1382 of the family's 1533-position model. Lineage: Bacteria; Pseudomonadati; Bacteroidota; Sphingobacteriia; Sphingobacteriales. The record is from RNAcentral.